GACGAACGCUGGCGGCGUGCUUAACACAUGCAAGUCGAACGGAAAGGCCCUGCUUUUGUGGGGUGCUCGAGUGGCGAACGGGUGAGUAACACGUGAGUAACCUGCCCUUGACUUUGGGAUAACUUCAGGAAACUGGGGCUAAUACCGGAUAGGAGCUCCUGCUGCAUGGUGGGGGUUGGAAAGUUUCGGCGGUUGGGGAUGGACUCGCGGCUUAUCAGCUUGUUGGUGGGGUAGUGGCUUACCAAGGCUUUGACGGGUAGCCGGCCUGAGAGGGUGACCGGCCACAUUGGGACUGAGAUACGGCCCAGACUCCUACGGGAGGCAGCAGUGGGGAAUAUUGCACAAUGGGCGGAAGCCUGAUGCAGCAACGCCGCGUGCGGGAUGACGGCCUUCGGGUUGUAAACCGCUUUCGCCUGUGACGAAGCGUGAGUGACGGUAAUGGGUAAAGAAGCACCGGCUAACUACGUGCCAGCAGCCGCGGUGAUACGUAGGGUGCGAGCGUUGUCCGGAUUUAUUGGGCGUAAAGGGCUCGUAGGUGGUUGAUCGCGUCGGAAGUGUAAUCUUGGGGCUUAACCCUGAGCGUGCUUUCGAUACGGGUUGACUUGAGGAAGGUAGGGGAGAAUGGAAUUCCUGGUGGAGCGGUGGAAUGCGCAGAUAUCAGGAGGAACACCAGUGGCGAAGGCGGUUCUCUGGGCCUUUCCUGACGCUGAGGAGCGAAAGCGUGGGGAGCGAACAGGCUUAGAUACCCUGGUAGUCCACGCUGUAAACGGUGGGUACUAGGUGUGGGGUCCAUUCCACGGGUUCCGUGCCGUAGCUAACGCUUUAAGUACCCCGCCUGGGGAGUACGGCCGCAAGGCUAAAACUCAAAGGAAUUGACGGGGCCCCGCACAAGCGGCGGAGCAUGCGGAUUAAUUCGAUGCAACGCGUAGAACCUUACCUGGGUUUGACAUGGAUCGGGAGUGCUCAGAGAUGGGUGUGCCUCUUUUGGGGUCGGUUCACAGGUGGUGCAUGGCUGUCGUCAGCUCGUGUCGUGAGAUGUUGGGUUAAGUCCCGCAACGAGCGCAACCCUUGUUCACUGUUGCCAGCACGUUAUGGUGGGGACUCAGUGGAGACCGCCGGGGUCAACUCGGAGGAAGGUGGGGAUGACGUCAAGUCAUCAUGCCCCUUAUGUCCAGGGCUUCACGCAUGCUACAAUGGCUGGUACAGAGAGUGGCGAGCCUGUGAGGGUGAGCGAAUCUCGGAAAGCCGGUCUCAGUUCGGAUUGGGGUCUGCAACUCGACCUCAUGAAGUCGGAGUCGCUAGUAAUCGCAGAUCAGCAACGCUGCAGUGAAUACGUUCCCGGG
This 1343-nucleotide ribosomal RNA is filed under the name uncultured bacterium. Its description in RNAcentral is "16S ribosomal RNA". It matches the Rfam family "Bacterial small subunit ribosomal RNA", at positions 28 to 1378 of the family's 1533-position model. The record is from RNAcentral.